ACCUAAAGGGAUGGGCAGAAUGACCCAGCCAACUUGCUCUUCCAGGAAAACUUCAGGAUGGAAAACAGCUCCUGCUUCAUCCUGAGGAUCUUAUUCAUUUGCUACCAGGAUCAGCAUACGCUUUUUACCCAAGGGUUCAAAAUACGGAGGCCGCAUUGUGUCCAUGGAUGGGAGCAUGGAAAGAAACCUUUAAAAGCUGGACCAAGAAAGGAAAGA
Homo sapiens (human) is the source of this 216-nucleotide long non-coding RNA. RefSeq lists it as uncharacterized. Lineage: Eukaryota; Metazoa; Chordata; Mammalia; Primates; Hominidae. The record is from RefSeq and is a predicted model, not a curated record. The transcript has 3 exons.